ACCUGGAACACACAAGACAUCAAUGAUUAAUAAAAACGUAUGAAAAUAUAUGGAAUAUGAAUAUCUAUGGGAGACACUCAACAACCUGGGUCAGCCGGAGAACUGACUGAACAAAUGACGAGGGCACGGAGUUUUACCUGGUCAGGUCACAAGGUUGCGAACAGCAUCAGUCACAGCCUCUCGCUCUGGGCUGUCCAACACCUGCGAUAAGAAAUCCACUGCCUGGAGAGACCCACCAAGGGAACAUCAAUGUGUGACUACAUGCAGAGACCUCACAAUUACAUUGACUGGCUCUUACACACCCCUACAUCGUUCCUCUGUCAAAUCCCUUCACCUUGCAGUGGGGGCUGUGGAUCUUGGCCUGUACCACCAGGCUCUCCAGAGGGGUGCGUAGGAUCUCAGGCACAGGGAAGGUCGUCAUUGAUUCCAGGCGUUGCCGUGGGAACAGGUGGUAGGCAUGUCCGGGCUGGCAUCGCCCCGCCCUCCCUCUACGCUGAGUGACGUUGGAGCGCGAGAUCCAGACUGUGUCUAGACAUGACACCUGGGGACCAGCAAGACAGAGGUUUGCAACACCACACUAGUAUAUUAUAGCCAAUCACCAGUUGUAUUUGCGAACCCCAGCGUGGCGGCUCCUUGCCAGAAGUGACCGUCACCUACCUUGGUCCGUGUGUCGUAGUUCUGCUCCUUCUGAGAUCCCGCGUUUACUACGUGAACAAUGUCGUCGAUGGUGAUAGAGGUCUCAGCGAUGUUGGUGGCCAGGACGAUCUUCCUCCGGCCCUCAGGAGGGCGCUGGAACACGGUCUGCUGGUCACCCACCGACAUACUUGAGUGUACUGGAAAGAGAGAACAUGGGGUCACUAAUAUAAGAAUAUUUUGAAGAUAAAUAAACAGAGUUUGAGAGGAUGCGAGGACAAGAGUACCAAACUAAAUAUAGUACUAAUGGUUAAUAGGGAAUUGUAAAUAGGAGUUGGGUCUCAGUUCAACAGCGGUUUAGAAUCUCUGGAAUGUCACUCCUGAACUCAGAGCUGCGUGUACCAUGUCCUCUACAUUGAGUCGGGGGCAGGAUACUUGUUAUUUGGCCAAGUUGUACUGCAAGGACUUCUGAUUGGUCAACCCCAGGCUAGGGUGGGGGGAUUUAAAUGGCAUCCUGUUCCUUCGUUCAGUGGGGAAAAGCUGAGAAUAGGGGAGACUGAACAUCUACCUCCCAGCAUUACAUCUUGAUUUAUCCUCUCUAAAUAAACCUAUUUUUCUCCCCCUGA
Long non-coding RNA from Oncorhynchus kisutch (coho salmon), 1259 nucleotides. RefSeq lists it as uncharacterized. NCBI's taxonomy places the organism in Eukaryota, Metazoa, Chordata, Actinopteri, Salmoniformes, Salmonidae. The transcript has 3 exons. The record is from RefSeq and is a predicted model, not a curated record.